AUUGAACGCUGGCGGCAGGCCUAACACAUGCAAGUCGAGCGGUAACAGAUUGAUAGCUUGCUAUCAAUGCUGACGAGCGGCGGACGGGUGAGUAAUGCCUGGGAAUAUACCCUGAUGUGGGGGAUAACUAUUGGAAACGAUAGCUAAUACCGCAUAAUCUCUUCGGAGCAAAGAGGGGGACCUUCGGGCCUCUCGCGUCAGGAUUAGCCCAGGUGGGAUUAGCUAGUUGGUGGGGUAAUGGCUCACCAAGGCGACGAUCCCUAGCUGGUCUGAGAGGAUGAUCAGCCACACUGGAACUGAGACACGGUCCAGACUCCUACGGGAGGCAGCAGUGGGGAAUAUCGCACAAUGGGGGAAACCCUGAUGCAGCCAUGCCGCGUGUAUGAAGAAGGCCUUCGGGUUGUAAAGUACUUUCAGUUGUGAGGAAGGCGUUGAAGUUAAUAGCUUCAGCGCUUGACGUUAGCAACAGAAGAAGCACCGGCUAACUCCGUGCCAGCAGCCGCGGUAAUACGGAGGGUGCGAGCGUUAAUCGGAAUUACUGGGCGUAAAGCGCAUGCAGGCGGUCUGUUAAGCAAGAUGUGAAAGCCCGGGGCUCAACCUCGGAACAGCAUUUUGAACUGGCAGACUAGAGUACUGUAGAGGGGGGUAGAAUUUCA
This 656-nucleotide ribosomal RNA is filed under the name uncultured Vibrionaceae bacterium. RNAcentral describes it as "bacterial SSU rRNA". It matches the Rfam family "Bacterial small subunit ribosomal RNA", at positions 28 to 671 of the family's 1533-position model. The record is from RNAcentral. Lineage: Bacteria; Pseudomonadati; Pseudomonadota; Gammaproteobacteria; Vibrionales; Vibrionaceae.